Molecule: ribosomal RNA, 171 nt
Filed under: Septoria passifloricola
Lineage: Eukaryota; Fungi; Ascomycota; Dothideomycetes; Mycosphaerellales; Mycosphaerellaceae
Also listed under: 1 other name
Description: partial 18S ribosomal RNA
Rfam family: Eukaryotic small subunit ribosomal RNA
Source: RNAcentral
GUACACACCGCCCGUCGCUACUACCGAUUGAAUGGCUCAGUGAGGCCUUCGGACUGGCCCAGGGAGGUCGGCAACGACCACCCAGGGCCGGAAAGUUGGUCAAACUCGGUCAUUUAGAGGAAGUAAAAGUCGUAACAAGGUCUCCGUAGGUGAACCUGCGGAGGGAUCAUU